UGGGUAGUCCGCACGAGCGCACCUCGACCCUUAGUUGCCAGCAUUUAGUUGGGUACUCUAAGGGAACUGCCGGCGACAAGCCGGAGGAAGGUGGGGAUGACGUCAAGUCCUCAUGGCCCUUAUGGGCUGGGCUACACACGUGCUACAAUGGCGGUGACAGUGGGUUGCGACCCUGCAAAGGUGAGCUAAUCUCCAAAAGCCGUCUCAGUUCGGAUUGUUCUCUGCAACUCGAGAGCAUGAAGUCGGAAUCGCUAGUAAUCGCGUAUCAGCAUGACGCGGUGAAUACGUUCCCGGGCCUUGUACACACCGCCCGUCACACCAUGGGAGUUGGUUUUACCCGAAGACGGUACGCUAACCCGCAAGGGAGGCAGCCGGCCACGGUAAGGUCAGCGACUGGGGUGAAGUCGUAACAAGGUAGCCGUAGGGGAACCUGCGGCUGGAUCACCUCCUUUC
RNAcentral lists this ribosomal RNA (453 nucleotides) under uncultured Alphaproteobacteria bacterium. RNAcentral describes it as "bacterial SSU rRNA". It matches the Rfam family "Bacterial small subunit ribosomal RNA", at positions 1077 to 1533 of the family's 1533-position model. Lineage: Bacteria; Pseudomonadati; Pseudomonadota; Alphaproteobacteria. The record is from RNAcentral.